UCUACUUGAAGCUGGAGCUGAUCCUAAUGUUACUGAGUAUACAUCUGGUGGCUCUCCUGCUCUUAUUAUAGCCAUUGAAAAAGAUAAUACUGAUAUUGUUAAAUUGUUACUAGAAAAAGGAGCUGAUCCUAAUGUUACUAAGUAUCCAUCUGGUGGCUCUCCUGCUCUUAUUAUAGCCAUUGAAAAAGAUAAUACUGAUAUUUUUAAAUUGUUGCUGGAG
This is a long non-coding RNA of Amphimedon queenslandica, 220 nucleotides long. RefSeq lists it as uncharacterized. Lineage: Eukaryota; Metazoa; Porifera; Demospongiae; Haplosclerida; Niphatidae. The transcript has 3 exons. The record is from RefSeq and is a predicted model, not a curated record.